Cephus cinctus (wheat stem sawfly) is the source of this 407-nucleotide long non-coding RNA. RefSeq lists it as uncharacterized. The transcript is spliced from 3 exons. Lineage: Eukaryota; Metazoa; Arthropoda; Insecta; Hymenoptera; Cephidae. The record is from RefSeq and is a predicted model, not a curated record.
AUCGCGUCACUUCUUUAGCAUCACCUCCUACUAUUUGGCGGGACAUUCUCACGAGGGAUGAGAGGAAAACACAUGCAACUAUCUACGUUCACUCUCUUUGGGAUUUAUGAUGGACAUAGAACAUAAUCGUCAUAGAGUAUCUCUCCAAAGGCUACCAAAUAAAAAUGACGUAAUAAACGAACUAUCUUUUAUCAAGUAACUAGUACGCUGUUCAUCAUUACGAAUGUGUACAUCCAGGAAUUCUCCAAAAAAGAAACUGAAGUGCACACGUCAAGAAGAACGCGUGCGAGAAUGACAGGUUUUGUAAAAGCUUUGUCAGCUGCGUGGGACGCGGUAAAGCCAUACUCAGGUGGUGCGUAGGCGUUUCUUUUUGCGUAACGAACAUAGCCUACGAACGACACUUUGCC